Non-coding RNA from Cajanus cajan (pigeon pea), 461 nucleotides. Lineage: Eukaryota; Viridiplantae; Streptophyta; Magnoliopsida; Fabales; Fabaceae. The record is from RefSeq and is a predicted model, not a curated record.
CUUUGAUUUGCAUGCAUGGAGAAGAACUAAUAUAAGAGAGACGUAUCAUUCUUGGCUGAGAGAGAAUCUGAAGUCAAAUAUGACAAUGUGGAAGCUUGGAACCCUGCCUCCUGCUUUGAUUGCAUUUAAAGGUCUUGUUCAACCAAUUGAUCCCUCUUGGCACAUGCUUGGCUUGGGUUAUCAGAACAAUACCAAUAUUGAGAGUGUGAAAAAGGCUGCUGUUAUUCACUACAAUGGGUAGUCAAAACCUUGGUUGCAAAUUGGCUUUGAACAUCUUUGGCCAUUUUGGACUAAGUAUGUCAAUUAUUCAAAUGAUUUUUUGAGGAACUGUCAUAUCCUGGAAUCAUAGUCUGCCAGUGGAGCAAUAUGUUUUGUACAACAGUGAAUAUGAAAGGGGCAAGUAUUACAGGUUUCAUCUAAAUUUUUGCUGCUUGAAAUUUUCUUCAAGAUGAAUUUGAUAA